Molecule: ribosomal RNA, 441 nt
Filed under: uncultured bacterium
Lineage: Bacteria
Description: partial 16S ribosomal RNA
Rfam family: Bacterial small subunit ribosomal RNA
Source: RNAcentral
CCUACGGGGGGCAGCAGUGGGGGAUAUUGCACAAUGGGGGGAACCCUGAUGCAGCGACGCCGCGUGGGUGAAGGAGUGCUUCGGCAUGUAAAGCCCUAUCGGCAGGGAAGAAGCAAGACGGUACCUGACUAAGAAGCCCCGGCUAACUACGUGCCAGCAGCCGCGGUAAUACGUAGGGGGCGCGCGUUAUCCGGAUUCACUGGGUGUAAAGGGAGCGUAGACGGCCAUGCAAGCCAGGGGUGAAAGCCCGGGGCCCAACCCCGGGACUGCCCUUGGAACUGUGCGGCUAGAGUGCGGGUGGGGCAGGCGGAAUUCCUGGUGUAGCGGUGAAAUGCGUAGAUAUCAGGAGGAACACCGGCGGCGAAGGCGGCCUGCUGGACUGCGACUGACGUUGAGGCUCGAAAGCGUGGGGAGCGAACAGGAUUAGAUACCCCGGUAGUC